GGGUACAUUCGGGUAUUGGAUUCGGUUCGGGUUCGGUUCGGGUUUUUUUCGGGUAGGAGGUUAGGACCCAUUCGGGUAUUUUUAAAAAUCGGGUUCGGGUUCGGUUCGGGUAUUGUUCGAGUUUUUCGGUUCGGGUAUUCGGUUCCGGGUAUUUUGCCCAGGCCUACAUGAGGAGGUCAUCAUAUUUUUGGUUUCCCGAGCAGCGAAGAAGUGUUAUCUUGUUUCGAAUUGUUUUCCCUAUCAUUUGGCCAAGGCGAGGAGCUGGGAUGUGAGCU
RNAcentral lists this long non-coding RNA (275 nucleotides) under Arabidopsis lyrata. RNAcentral's name for it is "long non-coding RNA (ALYR_LNC003311)". The record is from RNAcentral. Lineage: Eukaryota; Viridiplantae; Streptophyta; Magnoliopsida; Brassicales; Brassicaceae.